UGCGGGGACGUGACAUCACCCGGAUGCUGUGGCUCCGAAGCGUUCCGAUCAGGUGGUGCAGCAAUAUCGGAGAUAGUUUGAGAUAAGCCUCGGGUCUCAGGCGAAACUUUAGAGGAUAAGGGAUGAGUGGGUGGCUUCGGUCUUGCUCUUCCCCGACAAUGAAGGCGAAGAUAAACAUGUAGAAAGCAAAUUAAUUCCUCGUUUGGACGAGAGUUCGAAUCUCUCCAUCUCCACGG
This 236-nucleotide transfer-messenger RNA is filed under the name Parabacteroides distasonis. Its description in RNAcentral is "partial transfer-messenger RNA". It matches the Rfam family "transfer-messenger RNA", at positions 129 to 374 of the family's 374-position model. From Rfam's summary of the family: Bacterial tmRNA, also known as 10Sa RNA or SsrA, is named for its dual tRNA and mRNA-like properties. Its role is to liberate the mRNA from a stalled ribosome. The record is from RNAcentral. Lineage: Bacteria; Pseudomonadati; Bacteroidota; Bacteroidia; Bacteroidales; Tannerellaceae.